AUGUGCCACUCGUACAUUCCGGUUCUGAGCGCGCCGUCCGCACUCACCUGAUGACCGCACGCUACGCUACGUUGCGUUAGCC
RNAcentral lists this small RNA (82 nucleotides) under Xanthomonas arboricola. RNAcentral describes it as "sRNA sX9". It matches the Rfam family "Xanthomonas sRNA sX9". Lineage: Bacteria; Pseudomonadati; Pseudomonadota; Gammaproteobacteria; Lysobacterales; Lysobacteraceae. The record is from RNAcentral.